UGAAACAUUUCCUUCGUUUGUAAAUGACAAGUUAAAUGGGGAACUGAAGCAGAAUGCACUACACCUGAGUUUUCAGCAGUUGCUUACAAGAUCGGAAAUCGUGCUGUUCAGGUUGAUAAAACACAUUUGCUUCUUUUGUUUUGUUUUGUUUUUGCUUUUUUGCUUUUUUGUUUUUGCUUUUUUUUUUGCUUUUUUUUUUUAAUUAAAAACAAAUGCUGUAACAAUGGAUAAAUAUGCAAAUUCCAUAUGUCAAAUCGAUUUCCGUACGUAAUGUGCAGGGCCUGAGGUGUUAUUUGUAUCGGUGCAUAACAUCCCAUAUACACAACUGAGCAUUAUUUUAUUUUUUCAGAUAUGGUAACGACAAUGGUAAUUUUUUGUAAAACGGUCUCCAGAAAUGAUGAGUACCCCAUUUUUGAAAAACUUAAAAAUCUUCUUCCACCGGAGAAUUCUGAGAUGGUAACGAGCAUCGAGAAAGGACUAACAUCAUUGUGUGACAAACUUAUGGAGGUCGUGAAACAUUAAGGCGGAUUAAGACUGAUGAAGGAAUUGAUAAUGUGAUUAGCCGGAGAUUCUAGAAAUCUAAGACAGAAUGUAUUGUGAAAUAAAAGGCAAAAGAAUGUAA
This is a long non-coding RNA of Gigantopelta aegis, 622 nucleotides long. RefSeq lists it as uncharacterized. The transcript has 3 exons. The record is from RefSeq and is a predicted model, not a curated record. Lineage: Eukaryota; Metazoa; Mollusca; Gastropoda; Neomphalida; Peltospiridae.